RNAcentral lists this ribosomal RNA (410 nucleotides) under uncultured bacterium. RNAcentral describes it as "bacterial SSU rRNA". It matches the Rfam family "Bacterial small subunit ribosomal RNA", at positions 917 to 1333 of the family's 1533-position model. The record is from RNAcentral.
GGGCCCGCACAAGCGGUGGAGCAUGUGGUUUAAUUCGAUGCAACGCGAAGAACCUUACCAGGGUUUGACAUAGUACGAAGUUUUUGAAAAAAACCACCUUCGGGAACGUACAUACAGGUGGUGCAUGGCUGUCGUCAGCUCGUGUCGUGAGAUGUUGGGUUAAGUCCCGCAACGAGCGCAACCCUCACUUUUAGUUGCCAUCAUUAAGUUGGGCACUCUGAAAGAACUGCCAGUGAUAAGCUGGAGGAAGGUGGGGAUGACGUCAAGUCCUCAUGGCCCUUACGUGUUGGGCUACACACGUGCUACAAUGGUAUCUACAACAGGAAGCAAGACUGCGAAGUUAAGCAAAUCCCUAAAAGAUACCUCAGUUCGGAUUGCACUCUGCAACUCGAGUGCAUGAAGCUGGAAUU